RNAcentral lists this ribosomal RNA (497 nucleotides) under uncultured bacterium. RNAcentral's name for it is "partial 16S ribosomal RNA". It matches the Rfam family "Bacterial small subunit ribosomal RNA", at positions 28 to 507 of the family's 1533-position model. The record is from RNAcentral.
GAUGAACGCUGGCGGCGUGCCUAAUACAUGCAAGUCGAGCGAACAGACGAGGAGCUUGCUCCUCUGACGUUAGCGGCGGACGGGUGAGUAACACGUGGAUAACCUACCUAUAAGACUGGGAUAACUUCGGGAAACCGGAGCUAAUACCGGAUAAUAUAUUGAACCGCAUGGUUCAAUAGUGAAAGACGGUCUUGCUGUCACUUAUAGAUGGAUCCGCGCCGCAUUAGCUAGUUGGUAAGGUAACGGCUUACCAAGGCAACGAUGCGUAGCCGACCUGAGAGGGUGAUCGGCCACACUGGAACUGAGGCACGGUCCAGACUCCUACGGGAGGCAGCAGUAGGGAAUCUUCCGCAAUGGACGAAAGCCUGACGGAGCAACGCCGCGUGAGUGAUGAAGGUCUUCGGAUCGUAAAACUCUGUUAUUAGGGAAGAACAAAUGUGUAAGUAACUAUGCACGUCUUGACGGUACCUAAUCAGAAAGCCACGGCUAACUACGUG